Molecule: long non-coding RNA, 2045 nt
Organism: Argiope bruennichi
Lineage: Eukaryota; Metazoa; Arthropoda; Arachnida; Araneae; Araneidae
Exons: 3
Source: RefSeq, a predicted model, not a curated record
AGUCGAUGUGAUUUUUGUUAUUGUGGGGAUAUGUAUUAAUUAAUAUGUUAUUAAGUUGACGAAACAUCUGAUGGCGGAGCUGCGUUCUCAUUUCUUAGUUGUACCCUUCAGACUCAAAGUACCUACAGAUGAAUGACGAUUUUCAUCAAUGGGACUUCCAAGUGUUUCGACCACAACUUGGAGUAGAAGAUUGCAAUGGACUCUGUAAUAUCCGAUCAUUGAGUUUCUAGAAAGAAUCUAGACGCUGAUCUUUAAUAUUAGCAGUGUAUCUUGCCAAUUCAAGAUCCUGGAAUCCUACUCAUCAACUAGAUGGUAAAACUUUCAAUACUGAAGUACUUCCAUAUUCUUGGCUGAACUUGGAGACAAACUUGACAUUUCAACUUAUUCCAUGCGAUUCGGCUUAAAUACUGAAUUUGUACUUUUUAAGUUAAUUUGUUAUAGGAAAUGUUUUCCUUUAAAGAAUACUGUUCAACUUUAAAUUAGAUUUAAGUAAUACUGAAUGGUUUUCAACCAUUAAGCAGGGAAACUUCAAUGCAUCUAGUAAAAGCUUUAUCAAAUUUAUUAAACUUAAUUAAAAUUUCUAUGCAUAUAGUUCUAUUUCGAAUGAAACGGACAAAUCUACCUAAAGUUAUACCUUUCAAACGUUGUUGUUUCUUAUGGCACUUGCCACGGACAAGCCCGCUGGUCAAACACAGCCGCUAGUGGCUAGUGAUAAAACGAUACAGAAACUGCGUGAACGAUCCUGUUCAAAAUUUGUAUUAGAAGCUAUCGAUCUUUUGAGGUCUAGACAUCCUUCGAAUAAUGCUUUACUUGCUUCGUCAUAAUGCCAAAUUCCGAUUAUAUAUCUUAUUAAAAACUUUGUUUAAAGUAGUUAAAGUAUUUCUAUAUUAGCCUCACUCGACUAGUGCUCCGAACUGAAAUGCUUAAAGCAAUAACUUGCAAUAGGCAUCCCUGGUAAUGAUGGCCGUUUUCCAGAAAAAUAUUUUGAUAAUUAGGGAUUCUUAAAAUGAAGGCUCUUCAAAAUCCUUCAUAUUAAUUCCCUCUCAAGUUGUAAAAGCUGAAAUUUUAAUGUCGGUGAAUCAAAUGUCCUUUUCCCAUGCUUGGUUAGAAUGGCAAGUUUAAUCGACAUUUAAGUUUGCUAGGUAAUGAAUUUCCCUUCUAAGGUUUCAUUCUAAUUCUUAAUGAUCAUGGAAAUGCCUUUUUGAAUCCUUUGUUAAAAAUCUUCUGAAAUCAACUGGAAAAUUGAUAAUAAGCUUUCUAAAAACGUUGACAAAUCAUUGGAUCAGUAAGGAGCGAAAUUUUAAGUUCAUCCCCUUAUUUUUAUUUGUCAGUCUGAAACCUUGUAAUGAUAUUCCUACUUUUUUUAUUUAGAACAAAAGUACGCCGAUAAAAAGCGUAUGAAUUUCAAAUAUAAAGAAAAGCUAACUAUAAUAAUAUGUACAUUGAGUACAAGAUUUCAACCGGAACGAUAAGAAUUUAAAAAUAGCUUAAAAAUAUGCAGAUACCAAUAUUGAAAGUAGAAAUUGCGCCUCACUGGCUCAUUAUAGAUAGUGGAAUAAUUGAACGAGGUGAGGAGUUCGGAUAAAUAGGAAGGGAUGUUAACACGUUAAUGCUGGCUCCUGUUUACUUUCCGUCUAGACUGUUAGGGACCGGCGGUCUAAACGGAAAGUUACGGUCCCCAGGAUAACGGUACUUAAUGUGUUAUCACGUUAUAAUAGUUUAAACCAUCGUUAAGUGGGGUUAAAACUACCUUAAUUGAUUGGACGUCAGUAAAAUGGGGAGCAGCUGGAACCUAUGAAGUGCAAUUUUUAUAUUUCCGAUAUUGGUUAUGAAAGUUAGGAAUUAGUGUUCAGGGUAGGUUGAAAAUCUUAUACUAUAAAUUGUAGAGCUGUUUUUCAUAGAAACCUUUUCUUAAAUCUUGGAUUCGAAACGGUGAAUCCCAACUUUAAAUUUAAACGUAAUGCAGUGAAGUUUAAAAGCGACGUCUUUAAAAUUGUUUAUCAAAAGCAAACUCUAAAUUUCUAACUUUCAAUUACCUUCCGCUU